RNA transcript from Physeter macrocephalus (sperm whale), 1009 nucleotides. RefSeq lists it as uncharacterized. The record is from RefSeq and is a predicted model, not a curated record. Lineage: Eukaryota; Metazoa; Chordata; Mammalia; Artiodactyla; Physeteridae. The transcript is spliced from 6 exons.
CUCCUCCCUCGCCCGCAGCCCAGCGUCCCCUCCCCCCACCCGUCGGGCUCCUCGGCGGCUACUGCAGAGGAUCAGAGCCGAGUUGCUGAGGAGGAGGAGGCUCCCAGUCCCUGCGCGCCAUCCGCCACCUUACUGGACACGGGCGAGGGAGCGAGAGCGUCGCUUCUGUAGCCUUCAGAGAAGACAAGGGCAUCGCCGCUUCAGCUGCCGCCGCCGCCGUUUUCGCCUGCAGCGGCUCGCCGAUGCUGAUUCUUUGUAAUACCAGCUUAGAGCUUCAUGUCAUGUUUUGUUUCCUAAGGCACACUGCCUUUUUCAUUGGCAUAUACUAUCAAGUUGUGACCCAUGCUGAAAGGAACGGUUCCAAAUCUUCUGCUUGUGUAAUUGACCCCAACUUGAAUGGCUUAUGCUUCCCAUCUUAUGUUGAAAAGGAUUCUCAGUUGUCCACAAUGAACCCUGUUUAUAGCCCCGUGCAGCCUGGGGCUCCUUAUGGCAACCCUAAGAACAUGGCCUACACAGGCCUCUGACUGCCAGAGAGAGAAGCUUGAGCCAUCACUGUCACGACAAGUGCUGCUACGAUUGUUACCCUACAGCCUAUCCAGCUGCAGCCCCUGCCUACAAUCCCAGCCUGUACCCCACCAAUAGCCCCAGUUAUGCUCCAGGUAAGGAGAAAGUGAAGACAGCAGUGGUGAGUGGGGUGGGAGGUGAGGCUCUAUUUGGGGAAAAAAAGCCCGAAACACUUGCUGGCCUUUCCAUGUCCUUAAUUGCUCUGGGCUCAGCCUGUCCAUGCUUGAUUGUCCAGGGAGUCCCCUCUGGGAACUGGGGCAGUUCAGCCUCCGGGAAUAGAAUUUCUUCCAUUCUCCUUGGGACUUAAAGUUGGCCCAUCUCUCUUCUGCUGGAAUAUCUGAGACGUGUAUCCUCCUCACAGAACCUUUUCUGCUCCCCCAGUAUCCACACCCAGUUUUUGCUCGGUUCCCCCUGAGGCUGCCGUUGACACACACACACACACACA